This 958-nucleotide non-coding RNA is filed under the name Gnathopogon elongatus. RNAcentral describes it as "12S ribosomal RNA". It matches the Rfam family "Bacterial small subunit ribosomal RNA". Lineage: Eukaryota; Metazoa; Chordata; Actinopteri; Cypriniformes; Gobionidae. The record is from RNAcentral.
CAAAGGCAUGGUCCUGACCUUACUAUCAGCUUUAGCCCAACUUACACAUGCAAGUCUCCGCAACCCCGUGAGUAUGCCCUUAAUCCCCCGCCCGGGGACGAGGAGCGGGCAUCAGGCACAAAAUUUAGCCCAAGACGCCUGGCCAAGCCACACCCCCAAGGGAAUUCAGCAGUGAUAAACAUUAAGCCAUAAGUGAAAACUUGACUCAGUCAGGGCUAAGAGGGCCGGUAAAACUCGUGCCAGCCACCGCGGUUAAACGAGAGGCCCUAGUUAAUAGUGCUACGGCGUAAAGGGUGGUUAAGGAGAGCAAUAUAAUAAAGCCAAAUGGCCCUUUGGCCGUCAUACGCUUCUAGGUGUCCGAAGCCCAACCCCACGAAAGUAGCUUUAACAAAACCCACCUGACCCCACGAAAGCUAAGAAACAAACUGGGAUUAGAUACCCCACUAUGCUUAGCUAUAAACCUAGACGUCCAACUACAAUUAGACGUCCGCCAGGGUACUACGAGCAUCAGCUUGAAACCCAAAGGACCUGACGGUGCCUUAGACCCCCCUAGAGGAGCCUGUUCUAGAACCGAUAACCCCCGUUAAACCUCACCACUUCUAGCCACCCCAGCCUAUAUACCGCCGUCGCCAGCUUACCCUGUGAAGGCAAUAAAAGUAAGCAAAAUGGGCACAACCCAGAACGUCAGGUCGAGGUGUAGCGUAUGAAGUGGGAAGAAAUGGGCUACAUUUUCUAUAAUAGAAUACUACGAAUAUGCAACAUGAAAUAGUGCUUGAAGGAGGAUUUAGUAGUAAAAAGGAAGUAGAGUGUCCUUUUGAACCCGGCUCUAAGGCGCGUACACACCGCCCGUCACUCUCCCCUGUCAAAAUGCAAUGAUGAUACAUAACAAAAAAGCACUGACAAGGGGAGGCAAGUCGUAACAUGGUAAGUGUACCGGAAGGUGCACUUGGAUUAAACU